RNAcentral lists this ribosomal RNA (458 nucleotides) under uncultured bacterium. Its description in RNAcentral is "partial 16S ribosomal RNA". It matches the Rfam family "Bacterial small subunit ribosomal RNA", at positions 338 to 795 of the family's 1533-position model. The record is from RNAcentral.
CCUACGGGAGGCUGCAGUGAGGAAUAUUGGUCAAUGGGCGAGAGCCUGAACCAGCCAAGUCGCGUGAGGGAGUACUGCCCUAUGGGUUGUAAACCUCUUUUGUCGGGGAGCAAAAGCCGGACGUGUCCGGCUGUGAGAGUACCCGAAGAAAAAGCAUCGGCUAACUCCGUGCCAGCAGCCGCGGUAAUACGGAGGAUGCGAGCGUUAUCCGGAUUUAUUGGGGUUAAAGGGUGCGCAGGCGGAUUUUUAAGUCAGCGGUCAAAUCGUGGGGCUCAACCCCAUCCAGCCGUUGAAACUGGGGAUCUAGAGUGUGCGAGAGGUAUGCGGAAUGCGUGGGGUAGCGGUGAAAUGCAUAGAUAUCACGCAGAACCCCGAUUGCGAAGGCAGCAUACCGGUGCACAACUGACGCUCAGGCACGAAAGCGUGGGUAUCGAACAGGAUUAGAUACCCGUGUAGUC